AGUGUAGGCGGUUUGACAAGUCGGGUGUGAAAUCCCAGGGCCCAACCCUGGAACUGCAUCCGAUACUGUCAGGCUAGAAUUCCGGAGAGGGUGGCGGAAUUCCCGGUGUAGGGGUGAAAUCCGUAGAUAUCGGGAGGAACACCAGUGGCGAAGGCGGCCACCUGGACGGUAAUUGACGCUCAGACUCGAAAGCGUGGGUAGCAAACA
RNAcentral lists this ribosomal RNA (207 nucleotides) under uncultured bacterium. RNAcentral describes it as "partial 16S ribosomal RNA". It matches the Rfam family "Bacterial small subunit ribosomal RNA", at positions 568 to 774 of the family's 1533-position model. The record is from RNAcentral.